Cyprinus carpio (common carp) is the source of this 1030-nucleotide long non-coding RNA. Lineage: Eukaryota; Metazoa; Chordata; Actinopteri; Cypriniformes; Cyprinidae. The record is from Ensembl.
CAGAGCUGUACCUACAGCUGACAAGAAGAACAGUGAGCUCUCUGCGCCUCAUCAGCACUUUUAGAAACAAUGGAAGUAGUUCUUACCAGACUGAGAGAUUUCUCCUGUAAAGAAACUUCUUUUGAUCACUGUAAAGCAGCAGUGAUGUGCAGGGACCAUUCCUCAUCCCAGGAGGUGUGCAGAGGGAAGCGUAUGGCUGGAGAGGGGGACAUUGAGACUGCACUGGCCUGGCUGAGGAAGGAGCUGAUGGAGAUGCGGUCUCAGGACCAAGCUUUGAUUCGCCAGCUGAUGGAUCUUCAUGACGGCAUUCAGGAACUGAAGCAGGAGUGUGCAAAAGCCAUAGAAGAUGAGGAAGAGGAACCUUGUUGGGACUCUGGGAGUGAGGGUGGGGGGAGCAGUAUGUCCUCCUUCUCAGGAGAAAUGAGCUUUUUCCCUUCCAUCUCCUUUAGCACAUGUAUGAGCCCCGCUCCUCUUGGAGCCUGCCUGCCCAAACGGGCCUUUAGUAGACGCAGCUCUGUGCCCUGAACCCUCCGGUUCAGAUCACAUGUGCUUGAUUAAUACAACAUGUUUCAGCAUGUUACAGUAGUGUUGAGUCUCACAGAAGAACAAAUGAUGAAUUACUUAUGUGAGAAAUUUCAUAAUGUCAUAAAGAAUACUGUAUUUAAAACAACCGGUGUAACACAACUGCCUUAUGCUCAGAACAUACUGUAUACUAUAAAGUGAAAAAGUAAGACAUUUUACAUUGUGAAAAACUUGACAAAGUCUUUGGUGAUAGACUAAUAUUCUACCUGAAUGCACAAUAGAGAUACAUAGAAUGCACUGAGGAAGUUUACUUAAACAGCGCAUAUAUAUCUGUAAAAGUAUUUUCUCUCAUUUUACAAAACUGAAGUGCCUCUUCAAACUAAGUGCAUGACCCUGACAGCAAAAGAAAGUUGCCAGAAUAUUGUCUUGAAAGUUGAACAAUGAACAACUCAUUCAAUUGUAUUAUGAGAGUCAUUGGAAAAUAAAGAACACAUUUUUUUUUUUUUCA